Molecule: ribosomal RNA, 465 nt
Filed under: uncultured bacterium
Lineage: Bacteria
Description: partial 16S ribosomal RNA
Rfam family: Bacterial small subunit ribosomal RNA
Source: RNAcentral
CCUACGGGUGGCAGCAGUGGGGAAUAUUGCGCAAUGGGCGAAAGCCUGAUGCAGCGACGCCGCGUGAAGGAUGAAGGGCUUCGGAUCGUAAACCUCUGUCAACAGGGAAGAACGGUCACUGUGCUAAUCAGCAGUGAAUUGACGGUACCUACAAGGGAGGCACCGGCGAACUCCGUGCCAGCAGCCGCGGUAAUACGGAGGGUGGGAGCGUUAUUCGGAUUUACUGGGUGGAAAGCGCGCGUAGGCGGCAUGUGAAGUCAGGGGUGAAAUCCCGGCGCUCAACGAGGGAACUGCGGUUGGAACUGGCAAGCUGGAGUGUGCGGGAGGAAAGCGGAAUUCGUGGUGUAGCGGUGAAAUGCGUAGAUAUCAGGAAGAACACCAGUGGCGAAGGCGGCUUUCUGGAGCGCAACUGACGCUGAGGAGCGAAGGCGUGGGUAGCGAACAGGAUUAGAUACCCGAGUAGUC